Oreochromis aureus is the source of this 310-nucleotide long non-coding RNA. RefSeq lists it as uncharacterized. The record is from RefSeq and is a predicted model, not a curated record. The transcript has 3 exons. NCBI's taxonomy places the organism in Eukaryota, Metazoa, Chordata, Actinopteri, Cichliformes, Cichlidae.
ACUGUCGUCAUUCCGCUUUGCUCUCUGCUGUGGAACUUGACUGACACCUGUGCUUUGCCUGUGUGCAGAAGAAGAACAAGGACCAGAUCUCCAGUCUUCUCUCUCACAUCCCAACCCCCCAACCCCUCUAUCCUCUGUCCUACUCCACCUGUUGUCUCUGCCUUCUUUCCAUCUGUAUUUCACCCUGUGGUUUGUGAGAAAUUUUGCCAAACCAAGAAUCUUAUUGCGGUUUGAUUUCAAAGCCGUGUCUCUCCUGCUCUGUCUGUUCUCUCUGCUAAAUUUUCUCUCUACCUGUUUUUCACUCUUUGGC